GGAGUUAGCCGGUGCUUCUUCUGUGAGUGAUGUCCUUCCUGCCGGUUAUUGACCCGCAGGCCUUCUUCCUCACUGAAAGUGCUUUACAACCCGAAGGCCUUCUUCACACACGCGGCAUGGCUGGAUCAGGGUUGCCCCCAUUGUCCAAUAUUCCCCACUGCUGACUCCCGUAGGAGUCUGGGCCGUGUCUCAGUCCCAGUGUGGCUGAUCAUCCUCUCAGACCAGCUACGGAUCGUCGCCUUGGUGAGCCGUUACCUCACCAACCAGCUAAUCCGACAUAGGCUCAUCCGAUAGCGCGAGGCCCGAAGGUCCCCCGCUUUCCCCCGUAGGGCGUAUGCGGUAUUAGCCUGGGUUUCCCCAGGUUAUCCCCCACUACCGGGCAGAUUCCUAUGCAUUACUCACCCGUCCGCCGCUCGCCACCAGGGAGCAAGCUCCCCGUGCUGCCGCUCGACUUGCAUGUGUUAGGCCUGCCGCCAGCGUUCAAUCUGAGCCAGGAUCAAACUCUGA
This 507-nucleotide ribosomal RNA is filed under the name uncultured bacterium. Its description in RNAcentral is "partial 16S ribosomal RNA". The record is from RNAcentral.